GGUCGAACAAGAAAUUUCGUCGAAAAAGGCAACAACUCCAAAACCUUCAACAAAUGCAGUUUUAUCGACAAUUUCAUCUCAAAAAUCAUUGGAAAAAAAUGCAGCCGAUUGGAAAUUAACACAAACGGAUUUACCCACAAUGGGAGAAAAAGAUAUACAAAUGUUGACGACAAUUGUUCGAUCAUGGAAAAGUAAAAAAGAAAUAUCGAAUUCAAUGGUGACUGGAUGGCUGAAAGAUGUGAAUCAAUUGAAAAUGAACGCAGAUCAAGCGAGGAAAAAAUUGUACGGGGUUUUGGAAUUAUAAUAAAUUAAAAAAAAAAAAUUUUGCAAACAAAAUCACUCAAGAGAAAUUUUUAAAUUCCGCGUCAAAAAUUGGAAAUUUUACUGGAAAGCGUAUUUUAUUUUUAAUUUCAACAAAAAUUUGGCAACAUUUUUGGAGCAGAAUUCGAAAAUCGCAAAAAAAAAAUUUUUCAAAAAUUUUUUUUUUAAUUUUUCACAUUUUUUUAAGCCUAAAAACAAUAAAAUUUCAUUUUUAAAUUUUUUUGAAAAAGUACUAACGGUUCGGACGAUUUUGAACGUAUAGACCCAAAAUGAGCUCAAAUGAACGAAUUUCGUAAUGAAACUGCUCAAAAAAUUUUCAAAAAUUUUUUAUGGCGGUUCAAAAUUUUGAAAAAAUAACACUAAUUUUGGCUAAAACCACGAAUUUUUCCCAUUUUCCGGGGUCACAUUUGUUCGAAGUUGGAUUUUUUGGGAUUAUCAUCCUUUAUUGCAUAUUUGGCUAGUUUAUCUCAUUUAAUUUCGUUGAUUAAGGUACAUUUAAAGUCGACAUGUAACCAAUUUCGAUGAUUUUUGGUUACCUAUCGGCUUUAAAUGUACUUUAAUCGACGAAAUUAAAUUAAUAAAUUAGAUAAACUACCAAUAUAUGUAAUAAAAAACGAUAAUUCCAAAAAAGCCAACUUCGUACAGAUGUGACCCCGGAAAAAUGGGAAAAAAUUCGUGAUUUUAGCCAAAAUCAGUGUAAUUUUUUCAUAAUUUUGAACCGCCAUAAAAAAUUUUUGAAAAUUUUUUGAGCAGUUUUAUUACGAAAUUCGUUCAUUUGAGCUCAUUUUUGGUCUAUACGUUCAAAAUCGUCCGAACUGUUAGUCCACCUUUAAAAAAAAUUUAAAAAUGAAAUUUUAUUUUGUUUUUAGGCUUAAAAAAAUGUGAAAAAUUAAAAAAAAAAUUUUUUUGAAAUUUUUUUUUUUGCGAUUUUCAAAUUCUGCUCCAAAAAUGUUGCCAAAUUUUUGUUGAAAUUAAAAAUAAAAUACGCUUUUUGUCCAGUAAAAUGUCCAUUUUUUGACGCGGAAUUUGAAAAUUUCUCUUGAGUUUACCCCUGUUUGUUUGCCGGUUUGCACUUUUCCUACACUUUUUCGUCCGAUUUUACCUGGAGCAAAAAAUUGCGUAAAACUAUUGCUUUUUCUCGUAAAUUUUCCUAUUUUUAACUGGAAACCUAGUUUUGCCAACAAAGUUUUUCUGAAAAUUCCAAUUUUUGGUUAAAAAAAAAUUUUUUUUGUAAAAUUCUGAAACCUUUGUUCAAAAGCUAGUUUUCGGUGAAAUUGUCAAAAUUUAUUAUAUAUAUAUAUAAUUUCAAAAAUGUGUGAAAAAUUCCUUUUUUCCGUGAAUUUGCAAAUGUAUGCAGGGAAAAUUUGUUUUUUUUUCCUUAAAAUUUCCAAUUUUCGUUUAAAAAACUAGUUUUCCCCGUAAAAUUGUUACAAAUUUUGUAAAAAUUCUAAAAGUGGAGUAUCGAUAAUUGGAAAAUAUUUUUAAAUGGCUCUCUGAUUCCGAAUAUCUAUGUGAAAAAAUUCCAAAAAAUUUUGUCCUGAUUUUAUAUUUGAGCUUAAAAUCUCAGAAUCUCUUUUUUUUUUCGAAUUUGGCGCGAGAGUUGUCGAUUUACAAAAUUUUUAAUAAUUAUCGGAUGCUGAUUUCCGUUUUUUCAACGAUUUCCCUUCAUUUUCGUUCAGUUUUUUUUUCCAAAAUGUAGUUUUUAAGCUUAAUUAAAUAUAAUAUGUUAUCAAAAAUUUGCUCGUUUUUUGAUAAUAUAAUGUUUAAUUAAGCUUAAAAACGUUAAUUUUCAUUAAAAAAAAAACUUACCGACGAAAAUUAAGGAAACUCGUUGGAAAACGGAAACCAGCGCAUCCGAUAAUUAUUAAAAAUUUCGUAAAUCGACUCUGACGCCAAAAUUCGAAAAAAAAGAGAUUCUGCGAUUUUAAGCUGAAAUAUAAAAUCAGGGCAAUUUUUUUGAAUUUUUCCCAUCGAAAUUCGGAAUCAGGGAGUCAUUUAAAAAUAUUUUCCAAUUAUCGAUACUCCACCUUUAGAAUUUUUACAAAAUUUGACAAUUUUACGGGGAAAACUAGUUUUUUAAACAAAAAUUGGAAAUUUUAAGGAAAUAAAAAACAAAUUUUCCCUGCAUACAUUUGCAAAUUCACGGAAAAAAAGGAAUUUUCCACCACAUUUUUGAAAUUAUAUAUAUAUAUAUAUAAAUUUUGACAAUUUCACCGAAAACUAGCUUUUGAACAAAGGUUUCAGAAUUUUACAAAAAAAAAAAUUUUUUUAACCAAAAAUUGGAAUUUUCAGAAAAACUUUGUUGACAAAACUAGGUUUCCCGUUAAAAAUAGGAAAAUUUACGAGAAAAAGCAAUAGUUUUACGCAAUUUUUUGCUCCAGGUAAAAUCGGACGAAAAAGUGUAGGAAAAGUGCAAACCGGCAAACAAACAGGGGCAAACUCAAGAGAAAUUUUCAAAUUCCGCGUCAAAAAAUGGACAUUUUACUGGACAAAAAGUCGAAAUUCGGAAUCGGGGGGAAAUUUGGAGUCAUUUAAAAAUAUUUUCCAAAUUUCCUUUGAAUUCUCGAAAUUAUAUAUGAAAAUUAUAUUUAACAUUCUCAAUUUUUGCAGCUUCGACAUCAUAAAUACUUUGCCGGAUUCGUCUGAAAAAAAUGGUGGUGGUGGACAGCAAGAUGCCAACGAU
RNAcentral lists this small RNA (3004 nucleotides) under Caenorhabditis elegans. Its description in RNAcentral is "Unclassified non-coding RNA Y111B2A.41". The record is from RNAcentral. Lineage: Eukaryota; Metazoa; Nematoda; Chromadorea; Rhabditida; Rhabditidae.